RNAcentral lists this long non-coding RNA (518 nucleotides) under Neogobius melanostomus (round goby). RNAcentral describes it as "lncRNA (ENSNMLG00000019672.1)". Lineage: Eukaryota; Metazoa; Chordata; Actinopteri; Gobiiformes; Gobiidae. The record is from RNAcentral.
CUGAGCACUGCGGGACACAACGCUCUGUAAUAGGGACAAACCCAGGAGGCGCUACCGUUUCAGAGGAUCAAAGGAGACUGAAGGCAGCCCGCCAGGUUUCCACUCAGCGGCUUAGGACUAAUUCUACAUCUGGACCUUAAGGAUGGCUCUGAAGGACCAUGUGCACGGUGGGAAUGGAGCAUGGGACAGACCUUUGCCAAUCAAAGGAAACCGGUGGAGAGGGGUCACCUGCCAGCCCCAAGUAUUGGAGACAGUGAUGGCAGCCAAGGACUAAUGCCACCUCUAUGAGGAGGUAAUCUACCUGCUGGACUCCCUGCUUCGGACAUUCCUACAGAAGGGUGUGUAUGGCAUCACCACACCAUAUGAUGUGUUGACUGCAAGGGUGAAAGAACUCCUGGGACUUAUCAAAGCAAUUUUGAAAAAAACAAAAAAAAAAGGGGAUUGCCUGAUAUGUAAAUGAACUGUGGAAGUUGUUGAGAUUGUUUAAAUCACAUUGUGGCCUUGGAGUUUAUGCUGUG